Molecule: non-coding RNA, 3510 nt
Organism: Myodes glareolus (Bank vole)
Lineage: Eukaryota; Metazoa; Chordata; Mammalia; Rodentia; Cricetidae
Source: RefSeq, a predicted model, not a curated record
ACUCAAGUGUCUGGAUGGAGUCCCAGUCAAUGUGACGAGAGUGAAAAACUACAUGGGUCAGCAGACAGUCAAGUCCUGCACUGCAGCCUCUGUCCCCUGCUUAAUGAGUGAUCCUGCAGUCUGUGCUGGCUAGUUAUCUGUCAGCUUGGCACAAGUUAAAGUCAUUUGGAAAGAGGGGACCUCAAAGGAGAAGAUGCCUCUAUCAGUGAAAUAUGGUCUGCAGUGUGGAGCUGGCAGCUGGGCAAAGGAGAAACCAGAAACUUGUCCGAGGCCAGUGGUGUCCUGGAACAGCUGGAGAAGUGUGGCGUAAGUAGGCGGAUGCAUCUAACUUCACCUGCCUGCGGAUGGAACGCGUGGAGCUUCUCAGCUGAAAAAGUGCCGGGGCACAGAGGGCUUGCGGCUCAAGAGUCAGUGGUCACUGCACCCUGGCCGCUCCUGUGGCUGUGAACCGAUCGGAGCAAGAUACAGCCAUUACCUGGUUACUUCUGGGGGCCGGAGGGUAGGCACAGGACACAGAUUUCAUUUUGAAACAUUUUACGCCCAAAUUGAACCUUGAGGCCCAUCAAACCGUGAGUGCUUGUGUCUACACGUGUGUGUGUAUAUAUACACUUGAUAGUAGCCAAAAGGCCUAGGACGUGGCAAAGAUAUUGAGAUUUCUUUAGGCUCCUCGCAGAGAUGUUUGUUGUUGUUUUAUAUUGUUUGGCUUUGUUUUGAGAAAAGGUCUCCCUAUAUAUUCCUGGAAAGCCUGGAUGGAUGCUAUGUAGCCUCAUCUGACCUCAGACUCACAAAGCUCCUCCUGCCUUUGCCUCCCAAGUGUGAGGAUUAAAGGGGUGCACCAACCACCACAGCUCUUAGUUUAUAAACAGCAGACCUAACCUGUCAUUCAACACCCUCUACAACCAGCUGUAACCUCCUCCCACCUGCCCACGUACCCUGGGCCUGAGGCUGUAGCCACAUGUGCUGGUCACCACCCAACCCACCUUCCCUGUCCCUACAGCCUUUCCUUUAACUCUGCUUUUGUGGAAACUUCCACCAGGAGUUCUCAUCUUCAGGGAUCUCUUAGGUGUCCCUUUCCCCCAUUCCUCAUUGGAAUUAUCUCCCUCACACUUCUAGGACAUCUACUCUAUGUGCAGGUGAGGUCAGCUGUGAAAAUUCUAUGGGUAUUGCCUCCCUGCUUCCUGUGAGUUCUUCAACCCCAUCCCAUUCACAGCCUUCCAUUCUUGAUGUUUCUAUGUACGUAUGUAUGUGUGUGUGUGGUGUGUGCAGUAUGUAUAGUGUGUGGGUGUUGAUGCACACUUGUGUAGAGGCCAGAGGAAGACUUCAAGUGCCCUGCUCUGUUGCUCUCCAUCUUGUCCCCUUGAUAUGCCGCUGAACCUGGAAUUAGGCCUUCAAGCCACAUUAAUCCUCCCGACUAGCUCCUAGGAGUGCAGUACUGUGAUAAUGCUUGCCUUUUCACGUGGGUCCUGGAGAUUCGAACUCAAGUCCUCAUGCUUGAGCAGCAAAGACUCUUCUACACUGGGCCAUCUCUCUGGACCCUCCUUCCACCUCUCUUGUCACUUCUUGGUCUGACAUGGACAGAGCACCCGCUAUCUGUCAGCUGCUGCUCUUUGCCCUAGAACUAGGGCAAGGAGCCACGGCUGGAAGUCCCCUGGCCAGUGAGAGUUUACAGUUUAAUGAAGACAAAGUGGAUACUGUGGCAGAGAGCACAAUUUGUCAGCCAGUGGAAAAGGAAGGCCACAGCUGCAUUUCCGCCUCCCCCUGGAAAGCGGGGAUGAGCCUGAACCAGGGCUAGAGGUUCAGAGGUGACUUUUGAGUGGAGGUGGUAUCUUAGGAAUGGCCUGAAUGGUGUAAGGAGAGUCAGCAAUUGAGAUAAGAGCGCUCCUGAUGGAGACAGCAAGAUGGAGCAGUUCCUGUGCCCUGUCAGAGCACAAAAAAUGGAUACUGGAUCCCAAAGGACAGGGGAGGGGGCGAUAGCUCAGGAAGGAAUGUGUGUGAGACCUUGUAUUUCCCAGGAGUGGCCAGCAUGGCCUCUGCUCGGGUCACUGAGCUGAGCUCUAACCAGCAGUGCGUUUGGAAGCCCCACCCAGUGAGUUUUGCUUCUGCAGAAGGCAGCUCUAGACUUCAGAGGGAAUUCUUGAUCUGGACCUCGUCAGUGUGACCUUAGGAGCCACUUGGUCUACUUAGUCUACGUCUCCAUCCAAUGGGUAGGGUAAUAACAGCCACCAUGCCAUGCUGGAGCAUUGGGAGGUGUGAGGACUAUAUAUGAUAUGAUCCUUUAAAAAUAAUUUGGAUGUGUGUGCAAGUGUUUGUGUAUGUUAUGUAUGUAUGGGUACCUAUAGAGGCUAGAAGAGAUGAUCACGUCCCCUGGAACUGGAGUUACAGGUUGUUGUGACCUGCCUGACGUGGUACUGAGAACAGAACUCAGGUUCUCUGGAAGAGCACCAGCAAGAACUCUUAACCGCUGAGCCAUCUCAUUAGCCUAUAUUAUUACACUCUCAACCACAAAUAUGAUGCCGGACUGAGCUUUUUGCUCCCAGGACAAACUGUCACGCUUUGGGGAGAAUAAGGAAAAUCCCACGUGUUCUUACUUUGGAGUUGUUUUCAGCCCUCAGUUGGACGCCUGAUGCAGACCCUGCAGAUAUGAGAGGCCAGCUCAACCGUCUGCUAGCCCCGUAAAUGUCAGCUGCUGUUGCCCCUCUGAAGCCUUAGGGACCAACUGGUGGAGAGACUGGGGGCAGAGUCGGACUCUCCAGCCCUGGGAAGUACUUGACUCAAGGAUAUUUACAGGAGGGCUGUCUCUGUCUCCUGGGCCUGCUCCAGACAGCUUGAUACUUUGGCCCUUGUUCACUGGGAGACACUCAGUCUGAGCCUCCUGCUCCACUGCUGGGCACCUCCCUCUCUUGCCCAACCGCCCCGGCGUGGUUUUGUCUCAUUUCCGUGGUUGAAUGAUUUCGAGGUUGAGGGGCUUUUCUUGGGCAAUAGUGGUGCUGUCUCUGUCCCUCUUCCUCUGGGCCUCUCCCUCCUGAGCUUCUGCCUUCCAGAAUCAUGAAAGUCAUGAAAGUCACUCUCCGAUUUAGUCAAGAUAACUGUCAAGAUAAUUUAGGCCUCUCCAGUUUGUAAGCUGUGGUCCCACAAAUCUUCCUGGAUCAUCAAAUCAAGUGCAUUAGCUUGGUGAAGUUAACACGUUGUUUCUUUCCCCCUUCCUCCUCCCCUCUCUCUCUUCUUCCUUUCUUUUCUUGUUUGAAACAGAAUCUCAUGUAGCCCAGGCUAGCCUUAAACUUGCUAUGUAGCCAAGGCUGGCCUUCACCUCUUGAUCCAUCUGCCUCCACCUCUCAAAUACUAGGAUUAGAAGUAUAUUUGGCACUAUACCUGGCUCACACCAUUCCUUUAAUAGAUGAAGAAUGCUAAGACCCAGAGAAAUCAAGUGAUUAGGUCAUACAGUGGCCUUUAAAAAAAGAAAAAAGAAAAAAGAAGAAAAGAAAGAAAUGAAAAACAAAAUUCAUGUAAAAA